RNAcentral lists this ribosomal RNA (611 nucleotides) under Flavobacterium sp. EA2. Its description in RNAcentral is "bacterial SSU rRNA". It matches the Rfam family "Bacterial small subunit ribosomal RNA", at positions 212 to 820 of the family's 1533-position model. The record is from RNAcentral. Lineage: Bacteria; Pseudomonadati; Bacteroidota; Flavobacteriia; Flavobacteriales; Flavobacteriaceae.
UUAUCGGUGAAAGAUGAGCAUGCGUCCCAUUAGUUAUUUGGUAAGGUAACGGCUUACCAAGACUACGAUGGGUAGGGGUCCUGAGAGGGAGAUCCCCCACACUGGUACUGAGACACGGACCAGACUCCUACGGGAGGCAGCAGUGAGGAAUAUUGGACAAUGGGCGCAAGCCUGAUCCAGCCAUGCCGCGUGCAGGAUGACGGUCCUAUGGAUUGUAAACUGCUUUUAUACGAGAAGAAACACUGGUUCGUGAACCAGCUUGACGGUAUCGUAAGAAUAAGGAUCGGCUAACUCCGUGCCAGCAGCCGCGGUAAUACGGAGGAUCCAAGCGUUAUCCGGAAUCAUUGGGUUUAAAGGGUCCGUAGGCGGUCAGAUAAGUCAGUGGUGAAAGCCCAUCGCUCAACGGUGGAACGGCCAUUGAUACUGUCUGACUUGAAUUAUUAGGAAGUAACUAGAAUAUGUAGUGUAGCGGUGAAAUGCUUAGAGAUUACAUGGAAUACCAAUUGCGAAGGCAGGUUACUACUAAUAUAUUGACGCUGAUGGACGAAAGCGUGGGUAGCGAACAGGAUUAGAUACCCUGGUAGUCCACGCCGUAAACGAUGGAUACUAGC